GACGAACGCUGGCGGCGUGCUUAACACAUGCAAGUCGAACGGAAAAGCCCUGCUGUUGUGGGGUGCUCGAGUGGCGAACGGGUGAGUAACCCGUGAGUAACCUGCCCUUGACUUUGGGAUAACUUCAGGAAACUGGGUCUAAUACCGGAUAGGAGCUCCUGCUGAAGGGUGGGGGUUGGAAAGUUGUGGCGGUUGGGGAUGGAUUCGCGGAUUAUCAGCUUGUUGGUGGGGUAGUGGCAUACCAAGGCUUUGACGGGUCGUCGGCCUGGGAGGGUGGACGGCCACAUUGGGACUAAGAGACGGCCCAGACUCCUACGGGAGACAGCAGGGGGGAGUAUUGCACAGUGGGCGGAAGCCUGAUGCGGCGACGCCGGGGUCGGGAUGACGGCCUGCGGGUAGUAAAACGCUUUCGCCUAUUACGAAGCGUGAGUGACGGUAAUGGAUAAAGAAGCACCGGCUAACUACGUG
Molecule: ribosomal RNA, 468 nt
Filed under: uncultured bacterium
Lineage: Bacteria
Description: partial 16S ribosomal RNA
Rfam family: Bacterial small subunit ribosomal RNA
Source: RNAcentral